UACGGGGGGGGCAAGCGUUGUCCGGAUUUACUGGGCGUAAAGAGCGCGCAGGCGGUUGUGCAAGUCGCGUGUGAAAGCCCCCGGCUCAACCGGGGAAUUGCCUGGGAUACCGCCGGCCUGGAGGGGGGUAGGGGCGCCUGGAACACCGGGUGGAGCGGUGAAAUGCGUUGAUAUCCGGUGGAACACCUGUGGCGAAAGCGGCGCACUGGACCAUAACUGACGCUGAUGCGCGAAAGCUAGGGGAGCAAACAGG
This 253-nucleotide ribosomal RNA is filed under the name uncultured bacterium. Its description in RNAcentral is "partial 16S ribosomal RNA". It matches the Rfam family "Bacterial small subunit ribosomal RNA", at positions 524 to 776 of the family's 1533-position model. The record is from RNAcentral.